GACGAACGCUGGCGGCGUGCCUAACACAUGCAAGUCAACUUGACUGAAGGAGCAAUCUGACAGUAGAGUGGCGCAAGGGUGCGUAACGCGUAAGUAACUUGCCCCAAGGUAAGGAAUAACGUCGAGAAAUCGGCGCUAAUACCUCAUAAUGCAGCGGAUCCGCAUGGAUAUGUUGUUAAAGGUUUACCGCCUUGGGAUAGGCUUGCGUCUGAUUAGCUAGUUGGUGUGGUAACGGCACACCAAGGCUACGAUCAGUAACUGGUCUGAGAGGAUGAUCAGUCACACUGGAACUGAGACACGGUCCAGACUCCUACGGGAGGCAGCAGUGAGGAAUAUUGGGCAAUGCUCGAAAGAGUGACCCAGCAACGCCGCGUGGAGGAUGAAGGUAUUCUAUAUCGUAAACUCCUGUGAGAGCAGACGAAAGACAGAUUAUUAAUCUGGAUGACUGUAUGCUCAGAGGAAGCCCCGGACUAACUACG
Molecule: ribosomal RNA, 479 nt
Filed under: uncultured bacterium
Lineage: Bacteria
Description: bacterial SSU rRNA
Rfam family: Bacterial small subunit ribosomal RNA
Source: RNAcentral